UAAUACGGAGGGUGCAAGCGUUAUCCGGAUUCACUGGGUUUAAAGGGUGUGUAGGCGGGUAUUUAAGUCAGUGGUGAAAUCUCCGAGCUCAACUCGGAAACUGCCAUUGAUACUAUUUAUCUUGAAUAUUGUUGAGGUAGGCGGAAUAUGUCAUGUAGCGGUGAAAUGCUUAGAUAUGACAUAGAACACCGAUUGCGAAGGCAGCUUGCUAAACAAUUAUUGACGCUGAGGCACGAAAGCGUGGGGAUCAAACAGGAUUAGAUACCCUGGUAGUCCACGCCCUAAACGAUGAUUACUGGACAUUUGCGAUAUACAGUGAGUGUCUGAGCGAAAGCAUUAAGUAAUCCACCUGGGAAGUACGUCCGCAAGGAUG
RNAcentral lists this ribosomal RNA (373 nucleotides) under uncultured bacterium. RNAcentral describes it as "bacterial SSU rRNA". It matches the Rfam family "Bacterial small subunit ribosomal RNA", at positions 521 to 896 of the family's 1533-position model. The record is from RNAcentral.